Molecule: ribosomal RNA, 253 nt
Filed under: uncultured bacterium
Lineage: Bacteria
Description: partial 16S ribosomal RNA
Rfam family: Bacterial small subunit ribosomal RNA
Source: RNAcentral
CACGUAGGGCGCAAGCGUUGUCCGGAAUUCUUGGGCGUAAAGAGCUCGUAGGCGGUCUGUUGCGUCCGCUGUGAAAACUCGGGGCUUAACCCCGAGCCUGCAGUGGAUACGGGCAGACUAGAGGUAGGUAGGGGAGAAUGGAAUUCCCGGUGUAGCGGUGAAAUGCGCAGAUAUCGGGAGGAACGCCGGUGGCGAAGGCGGUUCUCUGGGCCUUACCUGACGCUGAGGAGCGAAAGCGUGGGGAGCGAACAGG